Molecule: ribosomal RNA, 253 nt
Filed under: uncultured bacterium
Lineage: Bacteria
Description: partial 16S ribosomal RNA
Rfam family: Bacterial small subunit ribosomal RNA
Source: RNAcentral
UACGGAGGGGGCUAGCGUUGUUCGGAAUUACUGGGCGUAAAGCGCACGUAGGCGGCUUUGUAAGUUAGAGGUGAAAGCCCGGGGCUCAACUCCGGAAUUGCCUUUAAGACUGCAUCGCUAGAAUUGUGGAGAGGUAAGUGGAAUUCCUGGUGUAGCGGUGAAAUGCACAGAGAUCGGGAAGAACACCAGUGGCGAAGGCGCUCUACUGGGCCGUAACUGACACUGAGAGACGACAGCUAGGGGAGCGAAUGGG